RNAcentral lists this ribosomal RNA (836 nucleotides) under uncultured bacterium. Its description in RNAcentral is "bacterial SSU rRNA". It matches the Rfam family "Bacterial small subunit ribosomal RNA", at positions 1 to 825 of the family's 1533-position model. The record is from RNAcentral.
UAGAGUUUGAUCCUGGCUCAGGAUGAACGCUGGCGGCGUGCCUAAUACAUGCAAGUCGAACGCACAGCGAAAGGUGCUUGCACCUUUCAAGUGAGUGGCGAAUGGGUGAGUAACACGUGGAUAACCUACCUCAAGGUUGGGGAUAACAUUUGGAAACAGAUGCUAAUACCGAAUAAAACUUAGUAUCGCAUGAUACCAGGUUAAAAGGCGCUACGGCGUCACCUAGAGAUGGAUCCGCGGUGCAUUAGUUAGUUGGUGGGGUAAAGGCUUACCAAGACAAUGAUGCAUAGCCGAGUUGAGAGACUGAUCGGCCACAUUGGGACUGAGACACGGCCCAAACUCCUACGGGAGGCUGCAGUAGGGAAUCUUCCACAAUGGGCGAAAGCCUGAUGGAGCAACGCCGCGUGUGUGAUGAAGGCUUUCGGGUCGUAAAGCACUGUUGUAUGGGAAGAACAGCUAGAGUAGGGAAUGACUUUAGUUUGACGGUACCAUACCAGAAAGGGACGGCUAAAUACGUGCCAGCAGCCGCGGUAAUACGUAUGUCCCGAGCGUUAUCCGGAUUUAUUGGGCGUAAAGCGAGCGCAGACGGUUAAUUAAGUCUGAUGUGAAAGCCCGGAGCUCAACUCCGGAAAGGCAUUGGAAACUGGUUAACUUGAGUGCAGUAGAGGUAAGUGGAACUCCAUGUGUAGCGGUGGAAUGCGUAGAUAUAUGGAAGAACACCAGCGGCGAAGGCGGCUUACUGGACUGUAACUGACGCUGAGGCUCGAAAGUGCGGGUAGCAAACAGGAUUAGAUACCCUGGUAGUCCACACCGUAAACGAUGAACACUAGGUGUUA